Bemisia tabaci is the source of this 437-nucleotide RNA transcript. It is a transcript of the gene named serine/threonine-protein kinase SMG1-like, with no coding region annotated. NCBI's taxonomy places the organism in Eukaryota, Metazoa, Arthropoda, Insecta, Hemiptera, Aleyrodidae. The record is from RefSeq and is a predicted model, not a curated record.
CUAUCUUAUGCAGACCGAUUCAACAAUUCAUUGCUGAUUUCCUUGGACGCAACUUGCUCGGAGUAUUUUCUCACACUCUUGCCGUCACAAUUUGUCUGCUCUUGCAGCGCAGCGGUCUAAAUGUAACAAGUGAAGUUGAAGAGAGAGAUAUUGGAGCCCAGAACAAAGUGUCCUUAGAGGAGUUGUGUCAGCCUAAAAGUGUGGACAUUUUUUAGCCUCCGGCGAAACCUAGAGUCUAUACGCCUUCGCCGCACGACUAAAAAACGGGGGCAUCUUAUCUUGGGGCAAUACCCGCAUAUAUCAGAGGGCUUACAGAUUAUUGGCAUGCUGCAUACUUUAUUGAGAAAAACUGACUUAACCAAUGGAGGAUGGAUUGCACAUCGGCAACACAAAGAAAAUUUGCUAUUUUGAGGGAAAAAUUUUUGGAUACAUGACUC